AUGGAUACAAUUGAACUACCUGAACUGAUUGCGACAACAUGCUGGUAUCUUUGGUGGCAACGUCGGCAAUAUGUCCGAGGAGAAGAAGUGCAACCACCUCACCGUACAGCCCUGGCGAUCCAUGCGCUGACAUUGAAUUUUGUAAGAGCUGUAGGAAAGCAACCUGCUACACCACGUCUGAAUGACUGGGGCAAAAAACUGUCAGGACAGAUUGUUUUGAAUGUUGACGCAUCUUUCUUAGAUGAAGAUCACUCGGGUGCGUGUGGCGCGGUUGUCCGAGAUCAUCGAGGAGGUUUCAUUGGUGCAUCUACAACUGCUUUGGCAUAUGUUGCUGAUGUAGUCUCGGCAGAAGCGGCCUCUUUACUCGAGGGACUCAAGCUUCUGCAAAGAAUUGGGUGUACUAAUUUUGUGGUGCAGAUGGACAAUAUUGUGGUGGUGAAUUCUCCGAUUCGGAAUGAAGGACACUCGAUGGUGGCGGCUCCGGUUCUAGAUGGCUGUCGUAAUAUGUUGGCGGAUUUCGGGAAGGUUACUAUAGAACAUUGUAAUAAAGAAUCUAAUAUGGUAGCGCAUGUCUUAGCUCAAUGGGGACGUUCUAACCCUCCGUCUUUGUGGUUGGAAGAGCCUCCCGUUUUUAUUGCUAGUUCACUAGCAGAUGAUGUGACUGUUAUUUAA
Molecule: ribosomal RNA, 672 nt
Filed under: Triticum aestivum (bread wheat)
Lineage: Eukaryota; Viridiplantae; Streptophyta; Magnoliopsida; Poales; Poaceae
Description: partial small subunit ribosomal RNA
Source: RNAcentral